UAUCGUCACGUGAAAUGCAAAAAGUCGUAAGCAAUAAAAAAUUCAAAGUUCAAUUUUUGAUUGAUAUUAUGGAUUUGAUCGAAUUGCAACUCCCCACAUCGUUUUAUGCAAAAAUAUUAUUACUCACGACUUUUUCUAUUUAAGCGAUGAUGUUUGUUACGCCUUUUUAUCUUUUGUUUACUAUACUUAAUUACAGGAACAAGCAAUAUAGUAAGUGGACCUCGUACCGACACUGACCCGGUGACUGAAGCCUUAAAACGACUGGAAGAACAAAAUCGGUACCUUUUGCAACUGGCCUCAAAGCAAAGCGUUCUUUUGGAAGAGGUUUUAAAAGUGCUCAAACCAAAAAACAGGACUUAGGAGUUUUCCCCUUGGAUUCCGUUGAAGACCUGGAAGCUGCUGAGACUUUAAUUUUAAGUAAAAACGAGCAGGAAGUUAUUACUUAUCUAAGAAGCAAGUUCGGAAGAAGGCCAAUUUUUAAAUUUAUCGACGAGAUUUUUGGAGACGAGUUAAUUUUAAAAAUCAACUGGGAUGGCGCAAAAAAUAAGGUGGCAAUUAAUAACUAUAAGCUUUUUAAUACGUUCUUUUUUGAUGCUUUGAAGGAGGAAAUCUUAACUUACGAGGCCUAUGAAGCAAAUUUUAAGCAAGCCUUCCACAAACGCAAAGCUUACUUUUAUAGAAAAACUUAUAAAUUAAAAAAAGUAGAUAUUUGUUAUAAUGUUAGUUUGAUCGAAUUUUUUACUGUUGAUACCACAGGCCAGCGAUAUUUAAAUCCCCCCCCCUUCCAAUAAUUAUGUAAUUUUUUAAUAUCUAGGUAUCUUUG
Long non-coding RNA from Rhagoletis pomonella (apple maggot), 823 nucleotides. RefSeq lists it as uncharacterized. Lineage: Eukaryota; Metazoa; Arthropoda; Insecta; Diptera; Tephritidae. The transcript has 3 exons. The record is from RefSeq and is a predicted model, not a curated record.